CAGAGGAGAAGAAAGGAAAGAGGAAGUAACUUGUGGAAUGCUAAGAAAGAAUUAAUGGAUUGGCUUCAGUUGGGAAAGCUGCGCUCACCUGUUGGUGAGCAUGAGGACAUCAACUGGAUGAAGUAUAUGGCUGAACCAAGUCUGAGGACAGGGCAAAAUUGUGGCUAAAGAGUUUCCUCUUGGCUCUGAGCUAUGCCAGCCUAGAAGAUGGGGGAUGGGGUGAAGGUGGGAAGAUUGUAUUUCCCUUCUCCUUGAGGUUAGACACAGUUACAUGGCUAGUUGAGCCAACAGAAGAGGAGCCGAAGUGAAAUAUGACACUUCCAAGUGAAAGACUAUAACUGCUGAUGCUUUUCUCUCAUCCCUGCCAAGAGCACAAUCACAGAGGUUCAUAUCCAUAUGAAGGCAGUAUCAGAGUGGAGGAGCUUGGAAUGCUGAGCAAACACACGGAGGAACGCUGCUGUGGUGCAUUACAUGGACUCCAGCAGGCUUCGCAUGAGUGACAAAUACACUUCAGUCAAGCCACUGAGAUUAGGCAGUUUGUCCUGCAGCACAGUCUAGCCUAUUUGGAUGUAUCUGAGUUUAGUCAUGGUAGCAUUAUGCAUCCUUGUAGCUGGGAGGGUCAAGUAACAGUUCUAGCAAACAAAAUAUAAAUUGAGGUGACUGGGCAAGUGAGCCUUCUAGGAAAAGCCUUUUAAAGAAACAAAUUCAGCUGGCAUGAGCAGUUUCUAUUUUUGUCCUUCAUUUUCUUGCCUGGAAUGUAGACAUGAUGGCUGGAACUGUAGGAGUUAUCUUGACAGCAUGAGGACUAGGGUCCCAUCCAAUGGUGCAGUGUGGACAGAGGAAAGGAGAUGGGACCCUGCUGACAUCAUGGAGCUGCCAUACUUUGGACUUCCCACAUCUGGGAUUCAUUUACGGGAGAGGAAAACAAACUUUUGUGUUGUUUAACCCACUGUUUUUCAAGUUUCUAUUCCUAACAGCCCAGUGCAAUUUUUAACUGUUAUGGAAGGUACAGAAGUAAUUUUAAUUCUUCCAGUAUUUAUACUAUUAGUUUUUCAUAUUUUUAUUGUGGAAACUUUCAAACAUAUCCAAAAAUACAGACAGUAGUCAUCAUCCAGCUUCAGCAAUGAUCAACUCAUAGCCAAUCAUGC
This 1148-nucleotide long non-coding RNA is filed under the name Homo sapiens (human). Its description in RNAcentral is "HSALNT0054590". Lineage: Eukaryota; Metazoa; Chordata; Mammalia; Primates; Hominidae. The record is from RNAcentral.